Molecule: ribosomal RNA, 293 nt
Filed under: uncultured bacterium
Lineage: Bacteria
Description: partial 16S ribosomal RNA
Rfam family: Bacterial small subunit ribosomal RNA
Source: RNAcentral
GGAUUAGAUACCCUGGUAGUCCACGCCGUAAACGAUGAGAACUAGCCGUUGGGGGCUUUAAGUCCUUAGUGGCGCAGUUAACGCGAUAAGUUCUCCGCCUGGGGAGUACGGCCGCAAGGUUAAAACUCAAAUGAAUUGACGGGGGCCCGCACAAGCGGUGGAGCAUGUGGUUUAAUUCGAUGCAACGCGAAGAACCUUACCAGCCCUUGACAUCCUCGGAACGACCUAGAGAUAGGUUGGUGCCUUCGGGAGCCGAGAGACAGGUGUUGCAUGGCUGUCGUCAGCUCGUGCCG